Cottoperca gobio is the source of this 2173-nucleotide long non-coding RNA. RefSeq lists it as uncharacterized. The transcript has 3 exons. The record is from RefSeq and is a predicted model, not a curated record. Lineage: Eukaryota; Metazoa; Chordata; Actinopteri; Perciformes; Bovichtidae.
GGGACUUUGGGAUGAUGAGCAGUCGCAUUGACAGCAACAUCUCCGCUCUGUCGCCCCGCGCCUGUCAGCAGUCUCUGGGAACCAACCGGGACUCCGCCAAACUUCAUGGGCGCUGACCGACCGCGCGUGCUGCCCAGCCAUCUUGCCAAACGGUCGGGCAGAGUUUAGUGACCUACUUCGGAGCAAAAGUUCCCACCUCACAAACUAUUUGGUGAAGAUCGGUGUUCAUUUUGAACAUUUGAUAUAAACGCGUUUUGCAUCUAAGGCGCGCGCGAAGGAGAGGACACUAAAGUACAAACGCUUGGACACUGGACACCCGAGGGAAGAAUUAGGGAAGUUGUUGGCCAUGCAGCUGGUGUUGUCAAAUGAGCUGAGGAGGAAGAGAAGGCUGUUUAGUCACAUGAGAUGGAGUUCACUCAUUCUGUCCACUGCAAGGGAGAAUCUGUGGAGUUGAGGCACCGCUCGCAGACCUCAGACCCACCUCUGAGGUGUGAUGUGACCAUAAGGAGUCUGGAGGCUGCAGCCUAGUCAUGGAGCAUGAUAUAAUAAUGGGCCUGUCCGUGUGGGCCAUUAUAGCCAUUGCUUGUAACUCUGUGGUGGGCAUCCUCAUCCUCAUCCUAUUCGUCAUCCUCUACAAGGCCUGCAAGGUGCCUUCACACCAAGAAAAAGAAGCAGUUUUCACAGCAUUGCCAGAGAAGAAAAAGGCUGAACAGAAGCUACCUGCUGACUGCAGCCUGAUCAUGACGGACACAGACUAAGAUGUUGACAUAAUUCAACUUUGUCCAUCUAGUACAUUCCAAAAGUUGAGUGUUGGAGGACAAGCUGGACUCUGAACUGUCAGUGAUCUUCUUUAUUUCUCUUCCUCUUCAACAAACCAAGACAUUACACUCAGUAACUCCUUUUGUUUUACAUCAACAUGCAUGUUCACAUUUCUGCACCAUCAUUCAGCGUAGCUCAAAGUGAGCUAACUGCAUGAAGGGUUGCAGCAAGGCCAACAACAACAACAGCAAGCAGGCCCAAUCCUCUUAUCUCUGCUGUGCGUCGCUGGGACUAUCCAUCUGUCAGUCUGUUUGCUUUGCUCUACACAGGCUGACCAUGAUCUCUUCCUCGACUGCGUCCUGUUUCAUCCCUCCAUGUGACACCACUGAGAGGAUGUGGAGGAGAAACUGCAAAGACACUUUGUAUUGUAACAUAACAGUUUGCGGUGAUGAGGAUGGUUGAGAGUCACGAAAACAUGUUAGAGGUAAAGAGAUAAAGUAGCUCACAAGCGGUUUGGUGUUUGCCAGCUGCAGCACUAAUGACGACAACGACAGAGCUGCCAAAACCAAAAGCCUGAAAGAGUCAGGAAGGAAGAGAGAUGCUGCUGGGGAAAGUGUGUGAGAGUUACAACAGGGCAGAGAGGGAGACAGACGGAGAUAAAGGACGGAUAUUUUGUGGGGAUGAUAAAAUUCUGGGGAAGAAUCUAAGAGGGGAUGCUUUGAUGUUGUUGUUUACAGAGAGGGAGCUCGAGGCUCCUGUCUGACAGUCUGCCUAUUUGACACACAAGCUUCCACCAAUCCGACUCCCAUGAGAUUAAAAGCAGCAGCAAAAAUGUUUCUCAUGUCCCAGUGUGCCUCUCUUUCAUUUUGUUAGCUCCUCUUAAGAUUAAAUAAGAUAUUUAUACACAGCCUUCCCCAGAAAUGACAGACUGACUGAACACAAGUGAAUAUUGUAUUUAUUGGAGUGAAUGUACUUCCGCUAACACACUUACUGUGCGAUGUCAAUGUUGUCUAAAGGAUGGAAGAGAGACAAUGUGACAAGCCAGACAUGUGUAUCUCCACAUCAUCGGAAUAAAGAGAGCUGCAUAUCUCAAGAUGUUUAUUAAUGAAAGGGCUUUAUUUUGUCUGUACUUGUACUUGUCAGUGAGUUCAUAUGAGUUAACUUGCUAAAAUAAAGAUAUUCUGAUUUGAUAUUCAGAACUUUCUGCUCUACUUAUUAACAUGAUAUUUCUGUACAUGUAAUGAUGAACAGUAAUCUGUGUUAAAGUGACUCGUUUGGUAUUUGAUAAAUCAUUUAAAUCAUCACCAUUAAGGUAUUGUUGCACUGUUGUAAUUGCCAUUGUGCUCUAUGCCUUGUGAUACUAAUGAUAGUUUAUUUUUGACUGACUCAAUAAAUUCUUUACUAUUGUUUGUUA